GCAGUGGCAUCAACUCAGAGUACAAACUGAUUAAAUAAUCUCAUUUACGAUCAUAAUCUGAUCAAUCCUUUAAAAUUACAAGCCUUUUUUACGAGUGAUUCAGAAUGAAACCUACAUGCAUUUUCCUUUUAUACGGCUUAUUAUUCCUUCUGAAUCGCUUU
Xenia sp. Carnegie-2017 is the source of this 161-nucleotide long non-coding RNA. RefSeq lists it as uncharacterized. Lineage: Eukaryota; Metazoa; Cnidaria; Anthozoa; Malacalcyonacea; Xeniidae. The transcript is spliced from 3 exons. The record is from RefSeq and is a predicted model, not a curated record.